This 561-nucleotide ribosomal RNA is filed under the name uncultured bacterium. RNAcentral's name for it is "partial 16S ribosomal RNA". It matches the Rfam family "Bacterial small subunit ribosomal RNA", at positions 355 to 916 of the family's 1533-position model. The record is from RNAcentral.
UGAGGAAUAUUGGUCAAUGGNCGAGAGUCUGAACCAGCCAAGUAGCGUGAAGGAUGACUGCCCUAUGGGUUGUAAACUUCUUUUAUANGGGAAUAAAGUNNUCCACGUGUGGNUUUUUGCAUGUACCNUAUGAAUAAGGAUCGGCUAACUCCGUGCCAGCAGCCGCGGUAAUACGGAGGAUCCGAGCGUUAUCCGGAUUUAUUGGGUUUAAAGGGAGCGUAGNUGGANNGUUAAGUCAGUUGUGAAAGUUUGCGGCUCAACCGUAAAAUUGCAGUUGAUACUGGCUGUCUUGAGUNCAGUUGAGGUAGGCGGAAUUCGUGGUGUAGCGGUGAAAUGCUUAGAUAUCACGAAGAACUCCGAUUGCGAAGGCAGCUUACUNANCUGCAACUGACAUUGAUGCUCGAAAGUGUGGGUAUCAAACAGGAUUAGAUACCCUGGUAGUCCACACGGUAAACGAUGAAUACUCNCUGUUUGCGAUAUACAGNNAGCGGCCAANCGAAAGCNUUAAGUAUUCCACCUGGGGAGUACGCCGGCAACGGUGAAACUCAAAGGAAUUGACGG